RNAcentral lists this ribosomal RNA (440 nucleotides) under uncultured bacterium. Its description in RNAcentral is "partial 16S ribosomal RNA". It matches the Rfam family "Bacterial small subunit ribosomal RNA", at positions 338 to 795 of the family's 1533-position model. The record is from RNAcentral.
CCUACGGGAGGCAACAGUGGGGGAUAUUGCACAAUGGUGGGAACCCUGAUGCAGCGACGCCGCGUGGGUGAAGAAGCGCCUCGGCGCGUAAAGCCCUGUCAGCAGGGAAGAAAAUGACGGUACCUGAAGAAGAAGCCCCGGCUAACUACGUGCCAGCAGCCGCGGGAAUACGUAGGGGGCAAGCGUUAUCCGGAUUUACUGGGUGUAAAGGGGGCGCAGACGGCGAUGCAAGCCAGGAGUGAAAGCCCGGGGCCCAGCCCCGGGACUGCUCUUGGAACUGCGUGGCUGGAGUGCAGGAGGGGCAGGCGGAAUUCCUGGUGUAGCGGUGAAAUGCGUAGAUAUCAGGAGGAACACCGGUGGCGAAGGCGGCCUGCUGGACUGCAACUGACGUUGAGGCCCGAAAGCAUGGGGAGCAAACAGGAUUAGAUACCCUUGUAGUC